RNAcentral lists this ribosomal RNA (292 nucleotides) under uncultured microorganism. RNAcentral describes it as "partial 16S ribosomal RNA". It matches the Rfam family "Bacterial small subunit ribosomal RNA", at positions 505 to 796 of the family's 1533-position model. The record is from RNAcentral.
GUGCCAGCAGCCGCGGUAAUACGGAGGGUGCGAGCGUUAAUCGGAAUUACUGGGCGUAAAGCGCAUGCAGGUGGUUCAUUAAGUCAGAUGUGAAAGCCCGGGGCUCAACCUCGGUAUUGCAUUUGAAACUGGUGGACUUGAGUACUGUAGAGGGGGGUAGAAUUUCAGGUGUAGCGGUGAAAUGCGUAGAGAUCUGAAGGAAUACCGGUGGCGAAGGCGGCCCCCUGGACAGAUACUGACACUCAGAUGCGAAAGCGUGGGGAGCAAACAGGAUUAGAUACCCUUGUAGUCC